Long non-coding RNA from Pseudophryne corroboree (corroboree frog), 512 nucleotides. RefSeq lists it as uncharacterized. Lineage: Eukaryota; Metazoa; Chordata; Amphibia; Anura; Myobatrachidae. The transcript is spliced from 6 exons. The record is from RefSeq and is a predicted model, not a curated record.
AUAUUGGUAAAAUGUCAUAUAAUUGACUCAUCAGAUCUAACCUAUCAGCAGAGGGAGGAAGUGAUGUAAACUCCCUAGGGGUAUAAAUAGGCCUCAGAAAUCUCUUCCAAAUCACUUGCCAUACAGGAAAGGAGGCAGCAACACAGGUCCUGAAUCUCUUAAUUUCUAGUUGGAAGUUAUAUCUUACCGGCCACUGUGGAGCUCAGAACCUACUUGUUGUCGAACUCUAAAGAAUUUUUAUUUUAGAAGAUGCACCUUAUUGGAUUUUAAGGAGCUUUUUAGCCCAACUUGUUAUCAUCGUGCUGAACUUUAAACUAAUUCAUCUGGUCAAGAUUAGACCAUCAGUGAGCAGGUGAAUUUGUAUUGGAAAACAUAUUGAACAUUGACUGACCAUAAUAUAGGAGUAGUUGAUCUCUAAUGAAGAUUAUCUCCAGAGACAGCCAAAAUUACAGAGAAUAAACUACCGUAUUAUAAAGAAGAAAUAAUCCACUCAGAGCAGUUAUAUUUGCACA